RNAcentral lists this non-coding RNA (160 nucleotides) under Gossypium hirsutum (cotton). Its description in RNAcentral is "Bacterial large subunit ribosomal RNA". It matches the Rfam family "Bacterial large subunit ribosomal RNA", at positions 2656 to 2814 of the family's 2925-position model. The record is from Rfam by way of RNAcentral. RNAcentral also lists the same sequence under 1 other name. Lineage: Eukaryota; Viridiplantae; Streptophyta; Magnoliopsida; Malvales; Malvaceae.
AGAGCAUUAAUAGGACCUUUCCUAGUACGAGAGGACCGGGAAGGACGUACCUCUAGUGUACCAGUUAUCGUGCCCACGAUAAACGUUGGGUAGCCAAGUGCGGAGCAGAUAAACUGCUAAAAGCAUCUAAGUAGUAAGCCCACCCCAAGAAGAGUGCUCU